GUGAACGCUGGCGGUAGGCCUAACACAUGCAAGUCGAACGGCAGCACAGUAAGAGCUUGCUCUUACGGGUGGCGAGUGGCGGACGGGUGAGGAAUACAUCGGAAUCUACUUUUUCGUGGGGGAUAACGUAGGGAAACUUACGCUAAUACCGCAUACGACCUACGGGUGAAAGCAGGGGAUCUUCGGACCUUGCGCGAUUGAAUGAGCUGAUGUCGGAUUAGCUAGUUGGCGGGGUAAAGGCCCACCAAGGCGACGAUCCGUAGCUGGUCUGAGAGGAUGAUCAGCCACACUGGAACUGAGACACGGUCCAGACUCCUACGGGAGGCAGCAGUGGGGAAUAUUGGACAAUGGGCGCAAGCCUGAUCCAGCCAUACCGCGUGGGUAAAGAAGGCCUUCGGGUUGUAAAGCCCUUUUGUUGGGAAAGAAAAGCAGCAGGUUAAUACCCCGCUGUUCUGACGGUACCCAAAGAAUAAGCACCGGCUAACUUCGUG
Molecule: ribosomal RNA, 491 nt
Filed under: uncultured bacterium
Lineage: Bacteria
Description: partial 16S ribosomal RNA
Rfam family: Bacterial small subunit ribosomal RNA
Source: RNAcentral